This 366-nucleotide long non-coding RNA is filed under the name Mus musculus (house mouse). RNAcentral's name for it is "predicted gene 45272". The record is from RNAcentral. Lineage: Eukaryota; Metazoa; Chordata; Mammalia; Rodentia; Muridae.
CCACAUGACUCUGUUGCAUCUCAUCCCCAUCUUUUAUCCUAUCCCUACAUCUGCUGUCCAAAUAGGACCCUCCACAAGUCCUGUGUGAUGAAGAGUGGUGGAGAAAUAGAGGACUCAAUCAACUCAACCUGAGACAAAUGGAAUAGUUAUGGAAAUCCAGAAAGUCUACCAGCUGCUUUGACCAAGCACCUAAAGAAAACAAGUACAGAAGACAUACGAAAUCCCCAUUUUCACACAUGAGUACCUUGACUUUAAAAGAGCUGAGUUAGAAUACUGAAAAAAUGAAAAGAGAAGAGAAAAGAAAGCUGAAGAGGAACUAGGAGAGGGAGCAAGUGCUGAAGAGUGAUCAAUGAGCAGCAGCUAUCU